Molecule: ribosomal RNA, 301 nt
Filed under: uncultured bacterium
Lineage: Bacteria
Description: partial 16S ribosomal RNA
Rfam family: Bacterial small subunit ribosomal RNA
Source: RNAcentral
CAGUCGCCGCGGUAAUACGGAGGGUGCAAGCGUUAAUCGGAAUUACUGGGCGUAAAGCGCACGCAGGCGGUCUGACAAGUCAGAUGCGAAAUCCCCGGGCUUAACCUGGGAACUGCAUUUGAAACUGUCAGGCUGGAGUCUUGUAGAGGGGGGUGGAAUUCCAGGUGUAGCGGUGAAAUGCGUAGAGAUCUGGAGGAAUACCGGUGGCGAAGGCGGCCCCCUGGACAAAGACUGACGCUCAGGUGCGAAAGCGUGGGGAGCAAACAGGAUUAGAUACCCCUGUAGUCCCUGUCUCUUAUAC